AGAGUUUGAUCCUGGCUCAGAACGAACGCUGGCGGCGUGCCUAACACAUGCAAGUCGAGCGCGAAAGUCCCUUCGGGGGCAAGUAGAGCGGCGGACGGGUGAGUAAUACGUGGAUAAACUUCCCUCGAGCUUGGGAUAACCCUGCGAAAGCGGGGCUAAUACCGGAUAAGACCACAUGUCAUAUGCCAUGUGGUAGAAGGUGGCUUAUAUUUAUAUGAGCUAUCACUUGAGGAUGAGUCCAUGGCCUAUCAGCUUGUUGGUGAGGUAAGAGCUCACCAAGGCUAUGACGGGUAGCUGGUCUGAGAGGACGACCAGCCACACUGGGACUGAGAUACGGCCCAGACUCCUACGGGAGGCAGCAGUGGGGAAUAUUGGGCAAUGGGCGAAAGCCUGACCCAGCGACGCCGCGUGGGUGAUGAAGGCCUUCGGGUUGUAAAACCCUUUCGUGCGGAAAGAACAGUCUCGUAGCGAAUACCUACGGGAUUUGACGGUACCGCAGGAAGAAGCACCGGCUAACUCCGUGCCAGCAGCCGCGGUAAUACGGAGGGUGCAAGCGUUGUUCGGAAUUAUUGGGCGUAAAGGGCGCGUAGGCGGUAGUGAAAGUCAGAUGUGAAAUCCUCCGGCUCAACUGGAGAACUGCAUCUGAAACUUCACAACUCGAGUACAGGAGAGGGAAACGGAAUUCCCGGUGUAGAGGUGAAAUUCGUAGAUAUCGGGAGGAACACCAGUGGCGAAGGCGGUUUCCUGGCCUGAUACUGACACUGAGGCGCGAAAGCGUGGGGAGCAAACAGGAUUAGAUACCCUGGUAGUCC
This 812-nucleotide ribosomal RNA is filed under the name uncultured bacterium. RNAcentral describes it as "bacterial SSU rRNA". It matches the Rfam family "Bacterial small subunit ribosomal RNA", at positions 8 to 796 of the family's 1533-position model. The record is from RNAcentral.